This is a long non-coding RNA of Orcinus orca (killer whale), 6292 nucleotides long. RefSeq lists it as uncharacterized. The record is from RefSeq and is a predicted model, not a curated record. The transcript has 3 exons. Lineage: Eukaryota; Metazoa; Chordata; Mammalia; Artiodactyla; Delphinidae.
UCCUCUUCCGUGACCCUAAAACCGCGCGCGGUCCCUCAGGAUAUCUCCCUUGCUCAGGCCUGCGUUACGCGUUUAGUGUGGGCGGGGAUAUUUUCCUGAAUCCACUGGUGAGAACGCAGAACGUGGGGAAAGGCUGCAGUGGCAGCCGGCCGGAUGGAGGUCAAAUAGUAGGAAGCGUUUACUGCCCGGGGCAGAGUGGUGCGGUCUCUAGUUUCCUCUUGCGGUUUGGUAGAAAGAGAACAGAAGCUGUUGAGUAGCCGUGUGACUUGGAACAGUGACUUGGAACAGUGACUUGGAACAGUUUUUGAUAUGAACUGGUAGUUGAAGUAAGUGUUAAAUUUUGGAAUUGAGCCGGGUCACCUGCCCCAGUCUCUAAGUUGAGAUUUCUCCAUUCUGCGCCGCGUAUGCGCCAACCACCUUGUCGGUUCCUCACAGGUCUCCUUGGAGUGGAGGACUGGGUUCUCCAGCCCGUGACUAAGACAUCUCUUCCCAGCAUUGGACAUCUCUUUUCCGGAGAUUGUUUUUUAGAUCUGUUUUUUUUUUUAAUUGAGGUAUAGUUGUACAAUAUUACAGAAGUUUCAGGUGUACAACAGUGAUUCACAAUUUUUAAAGGUUAUACUCCAUUUAUAGUUAUUAUAAAUAUUGGUGAUAUUCCCUCUGUUGUACAUCCCCCAGAUGUUCAUCAAAGGUCUCAUCUGUGUCGGGAGGGAACCAGCCCAGGCAGGCCCAACUUCACUUGCUGAAUCAGUAAAUGCCCUGGCGGCAUACCUUGCUGGACAUUGGGGCUUGCAUGGGCCUGCAGGCAGUGGGUCAGAGUAGAAAACCCUCGGGAGGUCAGAAAGGUGAGGCAUAAGUUAACUUUAUGGGCAGUGCAGAAGUGAUGUAUGCUGGUUGGGGAAAGCUUGGAAGAACAGAAAUGGGUUGUAUAAUAUGGUUGGUUACAAGACUGGGUGAGGGCAUAACAGAUGCCUUUUAGUGUCUUUCAUCACUUACACAGAAGUUGAUUUCGAAGAUGUGUUUUAUCUGAUCUUUUUACUCCUCCUUUCCUUUAUGGCUGCCUUUUGGCGGUUUGCCAAGUAGAAGUAGUUAUGGCAUCAUGACUUCUAGCUUUGUAAAAAAUACAUUUAUUUGUUUAUUUUGGCUGCACCACCUCUUAGUUGUGGCAUCGUUGUUUGUUUUUUGUUUUUGUUUUUUUUGGCUGCGUUGGGUCUUUGUUACUGCAUGCGGGCUUUCUCUAGUUGCAGCGAGCAGGGGUUACUCUUCCUGGCGGUGUGCAGGCUUCUAAUUGUGGUGGCUUCUCCUUGUGGAGCAUGGGCUCUAGGCUCGUGGGCUUCAGUAGUUGUGGCACGCAGGUUCAGUAGUUGUGGCGCACAGGCUUAGUUGCUCUGCGGCAUGUGGGAUCUUCCCGGACCAGGGCUCCAACCCAUGUCCCCUGAAUUGGCAGGCGGAUUCUUAACCACUGCACCACCAGGGAAGUCCUGUCUUUUUGAUAAUAGUCAUUCUAACAGGUAUGAGGUGAUACCUCAUUGUGGUUUUGAUUUGCAUUUCCCCGAUGAUUAGUGAUGUUGAGCACCUUUUCAUGUACCUAUUGGCCAUCUGUAUGUCUUCUUUGGAAAAAUGUCUAUUCAGAUCUUAUGUCCAUUUUUUUAAACAGGUUAUUUGUGUUUUUUUGCUUUUGAGUUGUUUGAGUUCUUUAUAUAUUUUGGAUAUCAGUCUCUUAUCAGAUAAGUGAUUUGCAAAUAUUUUCUCCCAUUCAGUAGGUUGUUUCUUUUGCUAUACAGAAAUUUUUUAGUUUGAUGUAGUCCCACUUGUUUAUUUUUGCUUUUGUUGCCUUUGUGUUGUGUGUCAGAUUGGUUUUUAGUUCUUUAGGGCAGUCUUACCUUUACAUUUCAGUAGUACCUUUCUAGUGCAAUGCUCCACAAAUGUUUUCUGAAUUCCUGCCGAAGAUUAGAAAAUUGACAGGUAGGGGGACUGCUACUGGAGAGAAAGCUUACUAAUUUCACCCAGAAAUGACAAUUGGUAAUCUGAUAGUGAGGGAAGAGACAGGAAAAAUCUGUAAAAGUAGGCAAAAUUUUGCCCAUCAUUUGGCAAAGAUUUUUAAAAUUGUAAUAUCCAAAAGAGAAUAUAGGAAAACACUUUUGUGUAAUGCUGGUGGGAGUAGAGAAUUCAUAUAAUUUCCUUAGAAUGUAGUUUGGAAGACUGUACUAAAAAUCGUUAGGGGACUUCUGUGUGCCACAACUACUGAGCCUGCGGUCUAGAGCCCACGAGCCACAACUGCUGAGCCCGCAUGCCACAACUGCUGAAGCCCACACACCUAGAGCCUGUGCUCCGCAACAAGGGAAGCCACUGCAAUGAGAAGCCUGCCCAGUGCAACUAAGAGUAGCCCCUGCUUGACGCAACUAGAGAAAGCCCGCGCGCAGCAACAAAGACCCAAUGCAGCCAAAAAUAAAAAAAAAUUAAAAUUAAAAAAAAUAAAAGUCGUUAGGGAAUUCCCUGGUGGUCCAGUGGUUAGGACUCUGCACUUUCAGUGCUGAGGGCCUGGGUUCAGUCCCUGGUUGGGGAACUAAGAUCCCACAAGCCACGUGGCGUGGCCAAAAAAAAAAAAAGUCAUUAAAGUACAUAAGUUGACCCACCAAUUAUACUUAUCCUAAGGAAAUCAUUUGAGAUGUGUAUACUUUUGUGUUCCCACAGUGAAUAGCAAAGCAGAACUACCUUCAUUUCUGACAAUAGAGAAUCAGUUAAACUAUGGGGCAAUCAUUCUAAGGAACUGUACACAUUGUGACCAUUAUAAAUUAUAUUUUCAAGGAAUAUUUAAUGAAGUGUAAAAAUGCUUAUGUGUUAAGUGAAAAAAGCAGGUUAUAAUAUAACUCUAAUUUAUAAAAUAUGUAUCUCUGUUAUCAUGUUAGCUUUUCUUCCUUGUGUUAGCGACCUCAGGCCUUAAAGAAAGCUUUGCAGCUCCAGGCGCCACAUCUUCCCACUAAUGACCCAAGCAGAAAGGAAGGGAGCAGUGAGGGCUCUCUUCUGUUGGCGCUCCAUCCCCAGGUGUAUUCCUCUUACAUCUUAUUGACCAGAGCUGGAUCAUAGAGCCACUCGGAGUUGCAGUGGAGGCUGGGAAAGUGAGUAUCCAGCAAAGAGGAUUGUGAUUAAUCCCUUGGGGCUGGCACACUGCCAUGCCACUAAGAAUGCUCUGGGGUUCUGUAGGUAGGGAAGAGGGGCAAAUGGCGGGUAGACAAAUGUGUUGCCACACCCAGUUAACUACAGCAUGUUGUUUGGGCCAAUAAAGCCACAUUCCAAGAGGGCAGUAUUUGUAAACAUCAGUGACAGUGUACCCAUAUGCCAUCAUCUCUGCCUUUCUCUGGAAGAGGUGCCAGUGUCAAAGACCAGCUGUUUGAGAAAUAACAAAUUAGCAUUUGUUUAAUUCCUGUGAUUAAUGACCCUUAGUUUACUUCAUCUUUGUGUAAGAGCAACAGUGUACUGAAUUGUGUCUCAUCUUGUAUUUAAUACGUAGAUCAGUACUUCUUCUCUUAUGUAUCCUGAACUUGAAAAGGUUGGGAAAGAGUAGGGACCCUUCUGGGAUGGAAGAAUUUGUGCCAUGUCCUUUAGUUUUCUGGAAUUGUAAUUACUUGGAAGUGAUGAACUAGGUAGAGUGCUUCUUAAAAUCACACAUUGCAAGAUCUCUGAAGCCAGCUAGAACAGCAGGCCUUGGGCUACAUGCCCAGUAUUGAAUAAUAAAACGAGAGACCUUAGAAAUAUAAGUUCCUCUGCCCUGUGUUUUGGGGGUUUUCACCCCUUCAGUUUUUGGGUCUGGGGAAGGGCAACAGAGACUUCUUGCUCACAGCCAAGGCUCUUAAGUUUAUGAGGAGGAAGUAGAGAUGGCAGAAGAACCAGCAGUGAGUACCAAGGAGUUAUUGGGAAAAAAAAUUAGGAGCUGAGUUAGUUGAUGGCAUAGAGUUUAUUUUUAUUUUUUUAAUAAAGUUUCUUUUAUUUAUUUAUAUAUAUAUAUUUGGCUGUGUUGGGUCUUUGUUGCUGCGCAUGGGCUUUCUAUAGGUGCGGCGAGCUGGGGCUACUCUUUGUUGUGGUGCGGGGGCUUCUCAUUGUAGUGGCUUCUCUUGUCAUGGAGCACGGGCUCUGGGCACAUGGGCUUCAGUGGUUGUGGCUCACGGGCUCUAGAGCGCAGGCUCAGUAGUUGUGGCACACUGGCUUACUUGCUCUGCAGCAUGUGGGAUCUACCUGGACCAGGGAUUGAGCCCGUGUCCCCUGCAUUGGCAGGUGGAUUCUUAACCACUGUGCCAACAGGGAAGUCCCAAUGGCAUAGAGUUUAAAUUCAGCUUUUGCUAAUAAGGUGGAUUUUGACAACUCCUUGGAAGCUGAGUUUAGUUCUUUCCCUUGAGCCUUUCCUCUCCUCCCAGUGGACAGCAUCUUAAAUUCCAGAGAAGAUGAUAAAGCUCCCCUGAGGCAGUUAUGGAAUCUCCAAGUUCCUAUUCCAGUGACUCAGUUUUCAGUAGUUCACUCUUCCUCCAUCUCACUCUCCCUUCACGUGGUAAUUAGAAGGGAUAGGGCACAGUCUCUCUAGCUUGCAUUCCAGGAAGGGUCCCGAAAGGAGCUGAGCUCAGGGUGAGCAGCUCUGAAUGGGUAUAAAAUAUUGCUCAUGUAGCUGCCCAUUGGGUGGGGCCUUAAGCCCUUUUGGAUGUGGCUGAACAUGCCACUGAUACUCUGUGACCCUGUGCUGUGGCACAGAGCUUCCAAGUUCACCAGGUUUAGGAAUCCUUUCCCUGGAAAGCCCAGAGGAUAAUAAUCGGUAACAGACUUCAUCACUGUGACUGGGAAUGAAUCGCACCAGAAACUCAAUAGCAGCUAAUUCACACAGGUCCCUUGACCACCCUGAACGCUACCAACAAUCUUGGUGAUUGCAUCCACAGUAGGUUCUGACCACUAAUGAACUUGACUCAAUCUCUAAGAAGCAGUCUCAGCUGCAGAGAGCUCCAGUCCACCUGCGCCUACCUCACCACUGUUUGCUCUCACGGAGGAACAAGUUGGUCAGGAAGCUGCACCACGGCCUGGCUCUUAAAGAGAGACUCUGAGAACCAGAGGUGGAGAUUCACUGACUUAGAAUUACUCUAAGCAGCUACAGCGUAAUGUCUUCGGAGAAGGUAUGUGCUGACUUGAUCAGAGGCGCAAAGGAAAAGACUCUCAAGGGGAAAGGACGGAUGCCCACCAAGACUGUGAGAAUAACUACAAGGAAAAUUCCUGUGGUGAAGGCUCUAGGACUUGGGAUCAUUUUUCAGGGUUUUUGUUUAGUUUUGGCUGUGCCGCAUAGCAUAUGGGAUCUUAGUUCCCCAACCAGGGAUUGAACCUGUGCCCCCUGCAGUGGGAGCGCAGUCUCAACCACUGGACCACCAGGGAAGUCCCCUUCUCUUCUUUUAAAAAAUAAUUUUUUUGAGGCAUAAUUUACAUACCACAAAAAUCACUCAUUUUAAGUGCACAAUUCUCAGUUAUAAAAAUGAUUCUAGAGAGACAGGUGGGGAACCGUGGAGAGUAGAAGAGGUGGAGAGUCUAGGUAGGUGGACUGAAAAUAGAGAUCAUGGAAUUCCCUGGUGGCCUAGUGGUUAGGACUCCGUGAUCUCACUGCCAAGGGCCUGGGUUCCAUCCCUGAUCAGGGAACUAAUAUCCCGAAAGCCACACGGCACAGCCGAAAAAAAAAACAAGAAGAGAAAAUAGAGAUCAAAGGAGAAGAUGGAGAGAAGAAAUGGUGCAGAUCUGAGAAGACAGAAUAGGGUAUCGAGGAGGGACUGAUAGGUGAUUCUCUCACCUGCACAUCGAGCUCCUGGCUUCGAGGGUCUUGCAGGAAGAACCGGAAGGCCGCCUCCCACACCGGGCAGUUGGUGUUAUAGACAGCCUGGAGAUGUGCAGGAUGUAAUCAAGUGAAGGAAGGACAGCUGUCAUCAGAAUCCUUCCCCUGGUGCUUCCCUGGUGGCACAGUGGUUAAGAAUCCACCUGCCAAUGCAGGGCACACGGGUUCGAGCCCUGUUGCAGGAAGAUCCCACAUGCUGCAGAGCAACUAAGCCCAUGCACUGCAACUACUGAGCUUGCGCUCUAGAGCCCGCGAGCCACAACUACUGAGCCUGUGCACCUAGAGCCUGUGCUCCGCAACAAGAGAAGCCACGACAAUGAGAAGCCCGCACACUGCAAUGAAGAGUAGCCCCUGCUCGCUGCAACUAGACAGAGCUUGCACACAGCAACAAAGACCCAAUGCAGCCAAAAAUAAAUAAAUAAAAUAAAGAUUAUAAGAGAA